GACGAACGCUGGCGGCGUGCUUAACACAUGCAAGUCGAACGGAAAGGCCCUGCUUGCCGGGUACUCGAGUGGCGAACGGGUGAGUAACACGUGGGUGAUCUGCCCUGCACUUCGGGAUAAGCCUGGGAAACUGGGUCUAAUACCGGAUAGGAGCCAUUUUUAGUGUGAUGGUUGGAAAGUUUUUUCGGUGUAGGAUGAGCUCGCGGCCUAUCAGCUUGUUGGUGGGGUAAUGGCCUACCAAGGCGGCGACGGGUAGCCGGCCUGAGAGGGUGGACGGCCACAUUGGGACUGAGAGACGGCCCAGACUCCUACGGGAGGCAGCAGGGGGGAAUAUUGCACAAUGGGCGCAAGCCUGAUGCAGCGACGCCGCGUGGGGGAUGACGGCCUUCGGGUUGUAAACUCCUUUCGCUAGGGACGAAGCUUUUUGUGACGGUACCUAGAUAAGAAGCACCGGCUAACUACGUG
This 465-nucleotide ribosomal RNA is filed under the name uncultured bacterium. RNAcentral's name for it is "partial 16S ribosomal RNA". It matches the Rfam family "Bacterial small subunit ribosomal RNA", at positions 28 to 507 of the family's 1533-position model. The record is from RNAcentral.